AUACAUUGUAAACAUAGUAUACAUAUGAAGUUGUAUCUACAUUUGAAUUGCGAUAUUCUUACGAAUUUUUGGCUACUUGUGCAUCAAGUCUUGAGUUUGUUUAUUCAAACUGAGUCUUAAUUCAAGAAUCACCUUGUCUGUUAGGAACUUGAGGGCAGACCAAUGAGGGUGAAUUCUGGACCUCCGCCUCCUAAGAGGGAAGGUUCUUCGUUCAGAGGACCUAGGGGAGAUAGGGAAGGUUAUUCGUUCAGAGGACCUAGGGGAGAUAGGGAAGGGGAAGGUUAUUCGUUCAGAGGACCUAGGGGAGAUAGGGAAGGUUCUUCAUUCAGAGGACCUAGGGGAGAUAGGGAUGGUUCUUCAUUCAGAGGAUCAAGGGGAGGGUCGAGGACAAGUUUCGAUAAUAGCAACAGAGUUUAUGUGGGAAACCUGUCAUGGGGAGUUGACGACCUUGCUCUUGAAACCUUGUUCAGUGAGCAAGGAAAGGUUAUG
This 489-nucleotide long non-coding RNA is filed under the name Olea europaea (common olive). Its description in RNAcentral is "long non-coding RNA (OEUR_LNC003241)". Lineage: Eukaryota; Viridiplantae; Streptophyta; Magnoliopsida; Lamiales; Oleaceae. The record is from RNAcentral.